GGGAUAUACACACACAAGGUAACCAGUGACCAGGUUGGCACUCCGAGCAGAUCAGACCCAGAACACUUCCCAGUGCUGGCUCAGCCCAGAGACAGCCCACAUGCUGGCUCCCCUCAUUUUUGGCAUGAUACCCAGUACCUGUAAUCAGGGUCUCUCCCUACACCCCUCCAUAGGGAUUGGGUUUCCAAAGUCCUUUUGUGGUCUAAAUAACCAUUGGCUGCACUCCAAGAGGACCCAUAGACUUCCCUGGCCUCCUAGCUGGCACCCACAUUCAGAGGGCUUGGUUCGGUCUAAUGCUGUUUCCAUUACGUAGUCCAGCUGUGUCCAGCUUUACAACUAGUGUCUCUGUGCUUUCACUAGGUCAGGUCAAAUGUUUCUGUGGGUUUCUCAAGCACAGUCUUGGCUCCUUUGUUCAUCCCUCAUCCCUCUCCACACCUGGAUUUCAGGAAUAUGGCUCAGUGUUUAGCUGUGGGUUCCUGUUUCUGCUUAGAUCAGCUACUGGAUGAAAGCACUAAGAACGGCAACCAUGGUAGGUGUCAAUCUCAUUAUAGGGGGAGGGCAUCAAAGGCAGCCUCUCCACCACUGCCUAGAUUCUUAGUUGGGGUCAUCCGGUGGAUCCCCUAACAUUUUCUCUGUCCCAGUCCUCUCUCCAAACCUGGCUCCCUUUAUGAAGGCAUCUCCUUUCUUGCCUUCCAUUUUUCCUUUUCUAUCUCAGUCCUUCUCUUUGCUCCUGUUCUCCAUCCCCUUCUUCUCCUCCCAACUCCCUACUCUCAAGAUCUGUGCCUCCAAUUUGAUCAGGGGUUCUUGUCCCCCACUCCUUCUUCAGGGGCUAUGUGUUCUACUCUUGGGGUCCUCCUUGUUUCCUAGUUUCUCUGGUAGUGUGGAUUGUAGGCUGGUAGUACUUUGUUCUAUGUCUAAUAUCCAUAUAUGACAGAGUUUAUAGCCUGUUUGUCUUUUUGUCAUAGUGUUACCACACUCAGGAUAGUUUCUUCCAGUUCCAUCCAUUUGCCUGGGAAUAUCAAGGUUUUAUUGUUUGUUUGUUUUCUGAUGAGUAAAUUGUGUAAUUACACCACAUUUUCUCCAUCCAUUCUUCAGUUGAGGGGCAUCUAGGCUGCUUCCAGGUUCUGACAAUUUAAAUAAUGCUGAUGUGAGCAUAGUUGGAUAUAUGUCCUUAUUGUAUGAAUGUGUAUUCUUUGGGUAUACACACCUAAGAACACCUUAUUUUUGAGAAAGAAGCUAAAGUUAUACAAUGGAAAAAAGAAAGCAUCUUCAACAAAUGGUGCUGGCAUAACUGGAUGAAGACAUGUAGAAGAUUGCAGAUAGAUCCAUAUCUAUUGCCAUGUACAAAACUUAAGUCCAAAUAGAUCAAAGACCUCAACAUAAAUCUACCCUCUAAAACACACACUUAUACAUACACACACUCAGAGACAGAAUAAGAAAGAGAAAUAGAGAAUUAUUUGAGAUACAAUGAGGGUUGAAAAAUAACAUGGAUUAUCAUUUAAAUUGUCUUACAAAUAGUCAAAUGUUAUAAAAGGUAUAAUUUUUUUAAAACAGGAACAAGUACAUCCACACAAAAAUCUUUUUCUGAACACAAAGCAAAUACAUAAUUUUGUAUUAAAUUUUAUCAUCAAGAAUAAAAUAUUUAAAUUAAAAUCAUUUACCAAAUGUAAUCUCAUAUUUAAAACAUGAGCUAGUUCAUAUUUCAUACAAAUUCAUCUCCACUGAAUUAUUUAAAUAAAUAUUUUUUCAAGAUUUGCAGCCAAAGCAGCAAUUUCUGAAGGAAGAUGUAAAUAUCUGAUAGGUACAAACUGAUGCCUGGAAACUCUUUGUGUUUUCUCAGGCACCUAUCCUGCUGCAUGAUACUGGGAACAUCCAAUACUUUAGGGCAUAGACUGUAUAGAAAGGAAAACAAAGGUCUGGAAUAAUAUCACUAUAAAAUCACUAUAAAUCUAAUAUUCAUAAGACAUUCAGUGAGUGGCCAUCCAAGAUCCCAGGUGCUACUAUUUUGUCCUAAGUGACAAUAACAUGUAAGAAAUACAGUAUUUAUGAAAAUAUAUAGAAAAUAAGAACAAAAGCAGAGCAUUUUACUCUUAUUUCCUGUAUUCCUAACAUUUAUGCAAUUUGGCAUGUUCUCUCUCUCUCUCUCUCUCUCUCUCUCUCUCUCUCUCUCUCUCUCUCACACACACACACACACACACACACACACACACACACACUCACUCACUCACAAACCAAAAUUUCACCGCAAUAAUACUGAUAUAUACAGAAUUAUUUGAGAUAAUUUUAAGGAUCAAAAAUAACAUUGACUGUCACUUAGCAAGUCUUAAAAAUAGCCAAAUGAUGCAAUAGAAUAUUUUUUCAAAUUUCAGUAAAAAGUGUGUAACACAAUAAAAUCUUUUUUCUUAGAGGACAAAGACACCUUUAUAUAUAUUAUAAAUUCAUCUUUAUUGAAAUAUUUAAAUGACAGUUAUUGAGGUUUGGAAGCAAUUAUGAAACAGAUAAGUAUCUCCUUAGUGAACUCUGAUGCAUGGAGAGCCUUGGUAUUUUCAUAAGCUUCUAUCCUAUUCCAUGUGACUAGAAUCAUACAAUUUCCUGAAAAUCUAGGCAGAUCUGGAAGGAAGGAGAGACACUUGGUAUAAUAAUAAAGUGAAAUUCUUCUUUUAGCAAAAAUAGGUAUGCCGGUAGUUUUUUGAGCUAUAAAGCAAACUUACAUAGUGAGAAAUAUUUCUUUCAUUCCAGGUAUGCCAGAAUGGUAAACAUAAAAACAUAAUGGAACUUAUGCCAAAAGCUAACAAUCUGUCUGGUAAAUUUUCUCAACUUCUUAAACUUAACACAGAACUACAGAUAAACGAUGCAUGUUAACUUAGCAACCAUCUCUACUUGACAAUAACAUUGAUGGACCUUUCAGUUCCAAAUGGCCAAUGCUGAAAAUCGAUACACAUAAUCACCACAUUGUGUACAUAGUGUGGGCUAGUUUUACAUAUAUUUGCAUAUGCUCAAAAACAAUUUUUAUAAUAAGUUGCAUUUAUCUUGACCUUUAUUGGAGCAGACAUAGUAUUGCAGCAGGAAGCAGAAAGAAGUAGUCCAAACAAUUAAAUACAGUCUUCACGUAGGAAAUCGCAAACUCUGUCAACGAAGUAUACACGUGCAUAUAU
RNAcentral lists this long non-coding RNA (3155 nucleotides) under Cricetulus griseus (Chinese hamster). RNAcentral describes it as "lncRNA (ENSCGRG00015042603.1)". The record is from RNAcentral. Lineage: Eukaryota; Metazoa; Chordata; Mammalia; Rodentia; Cricetidae.